This 506-nucleotide ribosomal RNA is filed under the name uncultured bacterium. RNAcentral's name for it is "partial 16S ribosomal RNA". It matches the Rfam family "Bacterial small subunit ribosomal RNA", at positions 30 to 523 of the family's 1533-position model. The record is from RNAcentral.
AUUGAACGCUGGCGGCAGGCUUAACACAUGCAAGUCGAGCGGUAACAGAGAGAAGCUUGCUUCUCUGCUGACGAGCGGCGGACGGGUGAGUAACGCCUAGGAAUCUGCCUAGUAGUGGGGGAUAACUUGCCGAAAGGUAAGCUAAUACCGCAUACGUCCUACGGGAGAAAGGAGGGGACCUUCGGGCCUUUCGCUAUUAGAUGAGCCUAGGUCGGAUUAGUUAGUUGGUGAGGUAAUGGCUCACCAAGACCGCGAUCCGUAACUGGUCUGAGAGGAUGAUCAGUCACACUGGAACUGAGACACGGUCCAGGCUCCUACGGGAGGCAGCAGUGGGGAAUAUUGGACAAUGGGGGGAACCCUGAUCCAGCCAUGCCGCGUGUGUGAAGAAGGUCUUAGGAUUGUAAAGCACUUUAAGUUGGGAGGAAGAGCAGUUAACUAAUAUUUGACUGUUUUGACGUUACCGACAGAAUAAGCACCGGCUAACUUCGUGUCAGCAGCCGCGGUAA